Pipra filicauda (Wire-tailed manakin) is the source of this 292-nucleotide long non-coding RNA. RefSeq lists it as uncharacterized. The transcript is spliced from 3 exons. The record is from RefSeq and is a predicted model, not a curated record. NCBI's taxonomy places the organism in Eukaryota, Metazoa, Chordata, Aves, Passeriformes, Pipridae.
GCUGGAGGUAGAACCAUGUUUUCCUGUAUAAGUCUGAGGAGCCAGUUUAUUUGCUACAUUUUGCGGAACACUGUCUGACCACAAGAAAGGAUGCUCUCAGAGAAACUUGGAUUUCAGCCCAAUGUCUCUGGGAGUAUGCACAGGAGAAGAAGAAACUGAAUCUAAGGAAAAAUUGUAACUGUGCUAAACACCAAAACACUGGAUCAAGAAUAUACUUGUGGUAUUAAUGACAACUACAGGUUACCUCUACACAGAAGAUGUACUGAAAAGAAAUAAAGAAGAUAUGUACAGA